GAUGAAGAACGUAGCGAAAUGCGAUAAGUAAUGUGAAUUGCAGAAUUCAGUGAAUCAUCGAAUCUUUGAACGCACAUUGCGCCCUCUGGUAUUCCGGGGGGCAUGCCUGUUCGAGCGUCAUUAUAACCACUCAAGCUCUCGCUUGGUAUUGGGGUUCGCGGUUCCGCGGCCCCUAAAAUCAGUGGCGGUGCCUGUCGGCUCUACGCUUAGUAAUACUCCUCGCGAUUGAGUCCGGUAGGUCUACUUGCCAGCAACCCCCAAUUUUUACAGGUUGACCUCGGAUCAGGUAGGGAUACCCGCUGAACUUAAGCAUAUCAAUAAGCGGAA
RNAcentral lists this unclassified non-coding RNA (327 nucleotides) under soil metagenome. Its description in RNAcentral is "partial contains 5.8S ribosomal RNA, internal transcribed spacer 2, and large subunit ribosomal RNA". The stretch from base 1 to 120 matches the Rfam family "5.8S ribosomal RNA", at positions 35 to 154 of the family's 154-position model. The record is from RNAcentral.